RNAcentral lists this unclassified non-coding RNA (1244 nucleotides) under Hevea brasiliensis (rubber tree). Lineage: Eukaryota; Viridiplantae; Streptophyta; Magnoliopsida; Malpighiales; Euphorbiaceae. The record is from RNAcentral.
GGGUAUCAUCAGCUCUAGGUCCUUACUGGGGCUUUCAACAAGGUUGGAUGAAAUGGCUAAGUGGGGUUAUUGAUAAUGCCUUAUACCCGGUUUUGUUUCUAGAUUAUCUGAAAUCUGCAGUACCAGCACUUGGGAGUGGUUUCCCUAGGGUAGCAGCUAUUCUGGCAUUGACUCUUGCUCUGACUUACAUGAACUACAGGGGUUUAACUAUAGUGGGAUGGGUUGCUAUACUCUUAGGGCUGUUUUCCCUUCUUCCUUUUGUGUUUAUGGGACUUGUAGCAAUCCCCAAAUUGGAGCCUUCAAGAUGGUUUGUGAUAGAUUUGGGUAAUGUGGACUGGGGUUUAUACUUGAAUACUCUCUUUUGGAAUCUCAACUAUUGGGACUCGAUUAGUACUCUUGCUGGAGAGGUGGAAAAUCCAAGUAAAACUCUUCCCAAAGCUCUCUUUUAUGCUGUUAUCUUGGUUGUUUGUGGGUACUUUUUUCCUAUCUUGAUUGGUACUGGAGCAAUUCCACUCAAUCGUGAACUAUGGUCUGAUGGAUAUUUCUCAGAUAUUGCAAAAAUUCUGGGAGGUGUAUGGUUAAGAUUGUGGAUCCAGGGUGCUUCUGCUUUGUCAAACAUGGGCAUGUUUGUGGCUGAGAUGAGCAGUGACUCCUUCCAACUUCUGGGAAUGGCAGAGCGUGGGAUGCUUCCUGAGUUCUUUGGCAAGAGGUCUUGUUAUGGAACUCCUCUUGCUGGGAUCUUAUUCUCUGCAUCUGGUGUGAUUUUGCUUUCAUGGUUGACUUUUCAGGAGAUUGUAGCUGCAGAGAACUUCUUAUACUGUUUUGGAAUGAUUAUGGAAUUUAUAGCAUUUGUGAAAUUGAGGAUGGAAUACCCAGGAGCUCCUAGGCCUUAUAAAAUACCUGUUGGGAUAGCUGGAGCAAUUUUGAUAUGCAUUCCUCCAACACUACUAAUUUUAGUGGUCUUAGCAUUUGCUUCUCUCAAAGUCACGGCCAUUAGCAUCAUCACAGUGAUUUUAGGGCUUGCCCUGCAGCCCUGUUUGAUGUAUGCUGGAAAGAAGAGGUGGUUUAGGUUCUCUGAGAAUUCUGACCUUGCUGACAUCCAUUUCACUUAUCACGAGCGUAAUGCACCGUGAAUGUGGUUUCCUUCUCAAUUCUCUGUGCACACGAAAUGCAUAUUCCAUUCAAUCCUUCUUAAAUGCUUAAAUUUUCUGUUGUUUUAAACAUGUUCAUCAGUGACUUGACAA